UGCCCAUCACUGGCUGAGGGUCAGCGCCAGGGGAGGUGAAAUUAUCUGGCUUUUCAGCAAUAGCUGAUGGACAUCAGGCAUUGGAGCCCCACAGAGCAGCAGCCUUGCACAGGGAGGGAAAAUCCAGGAGGCCAUGCACUGGGGAGGUGAUGGCUACAACCAAGUGGAAGCAGUGCUGAUGGCUCUCUGUCUGACCAGUGCCAGGGCCUGGCACAGCUUUCCAUGCUGCUGGGGCCAGUGGCUGUGCUGCUUUUGGGGGACACCAGCCUGGCUGUCCCUGCUUCCAGCCCGGGCUGUGGGGACACGGCAGCGACACGUGCGGUAUCGAGGCCACGCACAGCGCCGGGGCAGGAGGAUGGGAAUUCAUCAGCAGCUCCUUCCCGGCU
This is a non-coding RNA of Sturnus vulgaris (Common starling), 386 nucleotides long. The record is from RefSeq and is a predicted model, not a curated record. NCBI's taxonomy places the organism in Eukaryota, Metazoa, Chordata, Aves, Passeriformes, Sturnidae.